AAAGCGUGCGCAGGCGGUUUUGUAAGUUUGUCGUGAAAUCCCCGGGCUCAACCUGGGAAUGGCGAUGAAGACUGCAAGGCUAGAGUUUGGCAGAGGGGGGUAGAAUUCCACGUGUAGCAGUGAAAUGCGUAGAUAUGUGGAGGAACACCGAUGGCGAAGGCAGCCCCCUGGGUCAAAACUGACGCUCAUGCACGAAAGCGUGGGGAGCAAACAGGAUUAGAUACCCGUGU
RNAcentral lists this ribosomal RNA (230 nucleotides) under uncultured bacterium. RNAcentral's name for it is "partial 16S ribosomal RNA". It matches the Rfam family "Bacterial small subunit ribosomal RNA", at positions 562 to 791 of the family's 1533-position model. The record is from RNAcentral.